CAUUCACUGUCUUGUCACUGGCCUGCCUGGUGACUGAAAUGCCGGUCAUUGGGAAUCAAAUUUCAUCUUUUUUGUUAUCAAUUCAAACCCAGUGAUGUUUUACCUCUGCUGCUCCUUGUUUUUUUUCCUUUACAGCUCAUACACAUAACAAAUGAACUGCUGGAAUGUUGCCUCUUCUGAAGAUAUAAGCUAAGCUUGGUUCAACAACAUUUUCUCGUUGA
Molecule: long non-coding RNA, 221 nt
Filed under: Setaria italica (foxtail millet)
Lineage: Eukaryota; Viridiplantae; Streptophyta; Magnoliopsida; Poales; Poaceae
Description: long non-coding RNA (SITA_LNC006980)
Source: RNAcentral